CAAGUGGGUCACUGGGCAUCCAUGAGCUUCAUUUGGCUUUUUCAGAGAUCCACUGAGGUGAUCAAUGUAAGUUCUAUGGAAUGGCAAGCAGUUUUUGGCCUCCUUUCCUGCCUAUUACCAUAAACCCCCAGCAGUAGGAAAAAGACUGAGAGGUGUACUCAGUGGUUCUGUUUCUAUCAUCCCAGUUCUAAUGCUUCCUUAAUUGGUGGUAAUGUUUCCUUUUUAUUUUAAACCGAUUUUUUUUCCGAGAUAUAAUCCACAUAUUUUACAAUUCACCCAUUUAAAAAGUACAAUUCAAUAGCUUUUAGCAUAUUCAUAGAGUUGCACAAUCAUCACCACAAUCAAUUUUACACCACUUUUAUCAUCUCGCCCAAACCGCAUAUCUCACACAUACCUCAAAUAAACCCCAUUUCCAUACUAAUAGCAGUUAUGCCCCAACCCUCACAUAUAAUAUCCAGGAAACGAGUAAUAUACUGUCUCUUGAGAGUUGUCUUUUCUGGACAUUUAAUGGAAAUCAAAUCAUAUAAUCUGUGGCCUUAUGUGACUAGCUUUAUUUAUUUAGCAUGCUAUUUUCAAAGUUUUUCCAUGUUGUACAUGAAUCGGUACUUCAUAUCUUUUUAUUGCUGAUAACAUUCCAUUGUAUGAACACACCGCAUUUUGUCCAUGCAUUCAUUGUGACUCUUUCUACUGUUUGACUAUUAAGAAUAACUGUCUUUUUUAUUAUUCUUUCUUUUUGGGGGGAUGGGGUGCUAGGGAUUGAAUUCAGGGGCACUCGACCACUGAGCCACAUUCCCAGCCCAAUUUUGUAUUUUAUUUGGAGACAGGGUUGCUUUGUGCCUCUCUGUCGCUGAGGCUGGCUUUGAAUUUGAGAUCCUCCUGCC
Molecule: long non-coding RNA, 881 nt
Filed under: Marmota monax (woodchuck)
Lineage: Eukaryota; Metazoa; Chordata; Mammalia; Rodentia; Sciuridae
Source: RNAcentral